This 77-nucleotide transfer RNA is filed under the name Campylobacterales bacterium. Its description in RNAcentral is "tRNA-Arg". It matches the Rfam family "tRNA". From Rfam's summary of the family: Transfer RNA (tRNA) molecules are approximately 80 nucleotides in length. The record is from RNAcentral. Lineage: Bacteria; Pseudomonadati; Campylobacterota; Epsilonproteobacteria; Campylobacterales.
GUCCCGGUAGCUCAGUUGUAUAGAGCGUACGAUUCCUAAUCGUAAGGUCAUAGGUUAGAGUCCUAUCCGGGACACCA